Sorghum bicolor (sorghum) is the source of this 1081-nucleotide long non-coding RNA. RefSeq lists it as uncharacterized. The transcript is spliced from 3 exons. Lineage: Eukaryota; Viridiplantae; Streptophyta; Magnoliopsida; Poales; Poaceae. The record is from RefSeq and is a predicted model, not a curated record.
GGUUAAUUAUAAGUGACCAAACCGCCAUCGCUCGCGUCUUCGCGCUCGCGCCUUCCCCUUGCUUCUCAUCUGAUCAAUCCCCCGCCGGCCGCCGGCCAACCCAAAUCGUCAACACCAAAUCCGGCAUGCCACCCAAUGGAUCCACCGACGGCCAGCCGAUCUCUCCCUGCGUCGCAGAUUCUGCGGACCCAUCGAUCUCCCUUCCGCCGUGGCGCCAUGCCCACUGCGGAAGGACGGCGAGGAGCAGAAAGAGUACGGGCGCGAUGGAAAAGCUCGUCAAAGGACUGGAAGAGGCGUCGUGCUAGACGAAAGGGUGUGGUUGCUGAGAUGAGGAAGGAGCGGCGUUUCGGCUCCGGAGGAUAGGGACCUUGACGAGGGACAGAGGUCGUCGUGGGCCGAGGUGCUCGCUACCUGCCCGAUACAAUGCCCAAGUGGUGGAAUACGAGGUUACAGAAAACCUCUCGGUGUCUGAAGGGUAUUUGCUCUGCAGAUGGUCUCCAUCGUCCAACCAGGAACCAGGCGAUCAAGACCGGAGGUGGGAAAGCGUGGAAGAUGAUAGAAAGCAGUAGUAACAUAUGCAUAUCCGUGCGCCCACUCAAAGGCACAGCCAGGACGAAAGAGGUGGCAUGAUGGGUGUAGGAUCAGAUAGCACCACUGGCACGGUCAACUGCAGACCACAGCUACAGACUUCGCAAUGCAGAAGAGUGCAACAGUUUAGGAUGGACAGGAGAGAAGCAGUGGAGGUUAGGUGGCUGUUGGGGAAAGAAAACAUCAUAGAGAAUACCAUUGGCAAUUCAGUAUGGAAAGGAAGAAUUUGACAUUAUAGAGAAAUCAGGUUACUUUUUAGUUUCUGUGAAGAUUCGAACAGAUUCAUGCCAUUGGCAAUUCCUUUUUCUCUGCUUUUCUACUCCAAACAUAAAAUCGCUGUGACUGAUUGUUCAUAAAUAUAUUGUAUCUGAAAAUAUAGCAUCUAAGUAGGAAAUUCUCCAAGCUGUUUUUCUAGAUUGGUUUUCCAUUGGUUCUGUUCAUCACAUGCUGUUUGGUUUCAAUAAAGUACUCAUCAUAUGUGUUCAUAACAGUA